GUGCCAGCAGCCGCGGUAAUACCGGCAGCUCAAGUGAUGGCCACUCUUAUUGGGCCUAAAGCGUCCGUAGCUGGCUGCGCAAGUCCGUCGGGAAAUCCACUCGCCCAACAGGUGGGCGUCCGGCGGAAACUGUGUGGCUUGGAACCGGAAGGCUCAGAGGGUACGUCCGGGGUAGGAGUGAAAUCCCGUAAUCCCGGACGGACCACCGAUGGCGAAAGCACUCUGAGAAGACGGCUUCGACAGUGAGGGACGAAAGCUAGGGUCUCAAACCGGAUUAGAAACCCUUGUAGUCC
This 293-nucleotide ribosomal RNA is filed under the name uncultured bacterium. Its description in RNAcentral is "partial 16S ribosomal RNA". It matches the Rfam family "Archaeal small subunit ribosomal RNA", at positions 455 to 747 of the family's 1478-position model. The record is from RNAcentral.